GAUGAACGCUGGCGGCGUGCCUAAUACAUGCAAGUCGAGCGAACAGACGAGGAGCUUGCUCCUCUGACGUUAGCGGCGGACGGGUAAGUAACACGUGGAUAACCUACCUAUAAGACUGGGAUAACUUCGGGAAACCGGAGCUAAUACCGGAUAAUAUAUUGAACCGCAUGGUUCAAUAGUGCAUGACGGUUUUGCUGUCACUUAUAGAUGGAUCCGCGCCGCAUUAGCUAGUUGGUAAGGUAACGGCUUACCAAGGCAACGAUGCGUAGCCGACCUGAGAGGGUGAUCGGCCACACUGGAACUGAGACACGGUCCAGACUCCUACGGGAGGCAGCAGUAGGGAAUAUUCCGCAAUGGGCGAAAGCUUGACGGAGCAACGCCGCGUGAGUGAUGAAGGUCUUCGGAUCGUAAAACUCUGUUAUUAGGGAAGAACAAAUGUGGAAGAAACUAUGCACGUCUUGACGGUACCUAAUCAGAAAGCCACGGCUAACUACGUG
Molecule: ribosomal RNA, 497 nt
Filed under: uncultured bacterium
Lineage: Bacteria
Description: partial 16S ribosomal RNA
Rfam family: Bacterial small subunit ribosomal RNA
Source: RNAcentral